Thermoplasmatales archaeon Gpl is the source of this 72-nucleotide non-coding RNA. The record is from Rfam. NCBI's taxonomy places the organism in Archaea, Methanobacteriati, Thermoplasmatota, Thermoplasmata, Thermoplasmatales.
GGGCUCGUAGUCUAGCGGUAUGAUGUCUCCCUGACACGGAGGAGGUCACCGGUUCGAAUCCGGUCGGGCCCA